Molecule: long non-coding RNA, 891 nt
Organism: Alligator mississippiensis (American alligator)
Lineage: Eukaryota; Metazoa; Chordata; Crocodylia; Alligatoridae
Exons: 3
Source: RefSeq, a predicted model, not a curated record
GUUAGGUCUCUUGGCUCUGCCAGACUCCCUUAUUCCCCCAGCCUCCGAGAGGAAACCCUACAUGUUUCCCCAUUAUACAGCCUCAUCCAUCCCAACUAGGAGACUUCCUGGCUGCUCAAAGCCUCCAGUAUCCUCCUCGGCCCCAACCCAAUAGAUGUGGGAGAUGAACAAGAGGAGUCACUUCUACUGUCCUGGAUUCCUGUAUCCCAGCCCACACAUCCCCUCUCCAUGCAGCACCAGCUCAUAUCAAGUGCUGGCGUAAGCAGGAGGGUAAAGCAGAGCACAGCCAGCUGAAACCACAUCCUCGAGAGAGUCAGAGAAGAUGGGAAAGGCAGCCCCCUCAGCCCCCUGCAAUAUUUGGGUCGUUCACACAGAGCCAGUCAUCUGCAGAGCCUUCAGGCCUCACUACUGCUGUGUUGCAACAGAAAGCUGAUCACCAUCGCAGUCUACAUGUAGAUCCUGGACGGCACCACCCCAGUCAAUGAGGUUUUGGUAGGAGCUAGAUCACAAACACCAUCUCCUCCUGCUCAAAGAGGCUGGAGCAGCCAUCACAAGACGCUGACCCACAUAAGUGAGCAUCCAGGGUGCUUUGAAUCAUGGAGACCCACAGACCUGAACAGCCCUUCAUUUCCAGCGCUGCACUUUUAUCAGCCACUCAAAGCAAUGAGAUCACUCAGAGAAACAGCAAUAACGGGCCUCGAUGCUAUAGAUAACCCGCCAUUCUGCACAGGGCGAGGUGAUGAAGAGGCUUCCCAGCAGCACAGUAUUAAAAUAAUAGCCAAAAAAAUAAGACAAUUAGAAAAUGCAAUUUUCCAGCGGGUGCAUUUAAAGAUCUUAUCUCCCACCGGGAGGCAAACCAAUUUCCUUAUAAAUUAAAAAUAAUUCAGCUCA